UAAUAUUAAAAUUAAGAGCGGAUUUCACUUUUAAAAAUCAUUUUUUAGUAUUCCGAGUCAAUUUAAGGGUUGAAAGGGAUAAAAAUGUUUUUUU
This 94-nucleotide long non-coding RNA is filed under the name Neodiprion pinetum (white pine sawfly). Its description in RNAcentral is "uncharacterized LOC124222391". The record is from RNAcentral. Lineage: Eukaryota; Metazoa; Arthropoda; Insecta; Hymenoptera; Diprionidae.